AGAGUUUGAUCAUGGCUCAGGAUGAACGCUGGCGGUAUGCUUAACACAUGCAAGUCGAACGGAAUCUUCGGAUUUAGUGGCGGACGGGUGAGUAACGCGUGAGAAUCUACUCUUAGAUUGGGGACAACAGUUGGAAACGACUGCUAAUACCGAAUGUGCCGAAAGGUAAAAGAUUUAUCGUCUGAGAAUGAGCUCGCGUUGGAUUAGCUAGUUGGAGUGGUAAUGGCACACCAAGGCGACGAUCCAUAACUGGUCUGAGAGGAUGACCAGUCACACUGGGACUGAGACGCGGCCCAGACUCCUACGGGAGGCAGCAGUGGGGAAUUUUCCGCAAUGGGCGCAAGCCUGACGGAGCAAGACCGCGUGAGGGAAGAAGGUCUGUGGAUUGUAAACCUCUUUUGAUCGGGAAGAAGACAGUGACGGUACCGAUCGAAUCAGCUCGACUGCGCC
RNAcentral lists this ribosomal RNA (450 nucleotides) under uncultured cyanobacterium. RNAcentral describes it as "bacterial SSU rRNA". It matches the Rfam family "Bacterial small subunit ribosomal RNA", at positions 8 to 509 of the family's 1533-position model. The record is from RNAcentral. Lineage: Bacteria; Bacillati; Cyanobacteriota.